UACGGAGGGGGCUAGCGUUGUUCGGAAUUACUGGGCGUAAAGCGUACGUAGGCGGCUUUGUAAGUUAGAGGUGAAAGCCCGGGGCUCAACUCCGGAAUUGCCUUUAAGACUGCAUCGCUAGAAUCAUGGAGAGGUGAGUGGAAUUCCGAGUGUAGAGGUGAAAUUCGUAGAUAUUGGGAAGAACACCGGUGGCGAAGGCGGCCAUCUGGACCGCAACUGACGCUGAGGCGCGAAAGCGUGGGGAGCAAACAGG
This 253-nucleotide ribosomal RNA is filed under the name uncultured bacterium. RNAcentral describes it as "partial 16S ribosomal RNA". It matches the Rfam family "Bacterial small subunit ribosomal RNA", at positions 524 to 776 of the family's 1533-position model. The record is from RNAcentral.